RNAcentral lists this transfer RNA (75 nucleotides) under Candidatus Karelsulcia muelleri. RNAcentral describes it as "tRNA-Val". It matches the Rfam family "tRNA". From Rfam's summary of the family: Transfer RNA (tRNA) molecules are approximately 80 nucleotides in length. Their secondary structure includes four short double-helical elements and three loops (D, anti-codon, and T loops). The record is from RNAcentral. Lineage: Bacteria; Pseudomonadati; Bacteroidota; Flavobacteriia; Flavobacteriales.
GGGUGAUUAGCUCAGUUGGUUCAGAGCGUCUGCCUUACAAGUAGAAUGUCACUGGUUCAAAUCCAGUAUCACCCA